UACGUAGGUGACGAGCGUUGUCCGGAUUUACUGGGCGUAAAGAGCGCGCAGGCGGUCGUAUAAGUCGAGCGUGAAAGCCCCCGGCUCAACUGGGGAGAGUCGUUCGAUACUAUUCGACUCGAAGGCAGGAGAGGGAAGCAGAAUUCCCGGUGUAGUGGUGAAAUGCGUAGAUAUCGGGAGGAAUACCAGUGGCGAAGGCGGCUUCCUGGCCUGUUCUUGACGCUGAGGCGCGAAAGCUAGGGGAGCAAACGGG
This 253-nucleotide ribosomal RNA is filed under the name uncultured Chloroflexota bacterium. RNAcentral's name for it is "uncultured Chloroflexi bacterium partial 16S ribosomal RNA". It matches the Rfam family "Bacterial small subunit ribosomal RNA", at positions 524 to 776 of the family's 1533-position model. The record is from RNAcentral. Lineage: Bacteria; Bacillati; Chloroflexota.